RNAcentral lists this ribosomal RNA (400 nucleotides) under Vibrio sp. SF0992-5. RNAcentral's name for it is "bacterial SSU rRNA". It matches the Rfam family "Bacterial small subunit ribosomal RNA", at positions 373 to 765 of the family's 1533-position model. The record is from RNAcentral. Lineage: Bacteria; Pseudomonadati; Pseudomonadota; Gammaproteobacteria; Vibrionales; Vibrionaceae.
GGGCGCAAGCCUGAUGCAGCCAUGCCGCGUGUGUGAAGAAGGCCUUCGGGUUGUAAAGCACUUUCAGUCGUGAGGAAGGUAGUGUAGUUAAUAGCUGCAUUAUUUGACGUUAGCGACAGAAGAAGCACCGGCUAACUCCGUGCCAGCAGCCGCGGUAAUACGGAGGGUGCGAGCGUUAAUCGGAAUUACUGGGCGUAAAGCGCAUGCAGGUGGUUUGUUAAGUCAGAUGUGAAAGCCCGGGGCUCAACCUCGGAAUAGCAUUUGAAACUGGCAGACUAGAGUACUGUAGAGGGGGGUAGAAUUUCAGGUGUAGCGGUGAAAUGCGUAGAGAUCUGAAGGAAUACCGGUGGCGAAGGCGGCCCCCUGGACAGAUACUGACACUCAGAUGCGAAAGCGUGGG